RNAcentral lists this ribosomal RNA (845 nucleotides) under uncultured Staphylococcus sp. RNAcentral describes it as "bacterial SSU rRNA". It matches the Rfam family "Bacterial small subunit ribosomal RNA", at positions 68 to 895 of the family's 1533-position model. The record is from RNAcentral. Lineage: Bacteria; Bacillati; Bacillota; Bacilli; Caryophanales; Staphylococcaceae.
AACAGAUAAGGAGCUUGCUCCUUUGACGUUAGCGGCGGACGGGUGAGUAACACGUGGGUAACCUACCUAUAAGACUGGGACAACUUCGGGAAGCCGGAGCUAAUACCGGAUAAUAUGUUGAACCGCAUGGUUCAAUAGUGAAAGAUGGUUUUGCUAUCACUUAUAGAUGGACCCGCGCCGUAUUAGCUAGUUGGUGAGGUAACGGCUCACCAAGGCAACGAUACGUAGCCGACCUGAGAGGGUGAUCGGCCACACUGGAACUGAGACACGGUCCAGACUCCUACGGGAGGCAGCAGUAGGGAAUCUUCCGCAAUGGGCGAAAGCCUGACGGAGCAACGCCGCGUGAGUGAUGAAGGUCUUAGGAUCGUAAAACUCUGUUAUUAGGGAAGAACAAACGUGUAAGUAACUGUGCACGUCUUGACGGUACCUAAUCAGAAAGCCACGGCUAACUACGUGCCAGCAGCCGCGGUAAUACGUAGGUGGCAAGCGUUAUCCGGAAUUAUUGGGCGUAAAGCGCGCGUAGGCGGUUUUUUAAGUCUGAUGUGAAAGCCCACGGCUCAACCGUGGAGGGUCAUUGGAAACUGGAAAACUUGAGUGCAGAAGAGGAAAGUGGAAUUCCAUGUGUAGCGGUGAAAUGCGCAGAGAUAUGGAGGAACACCAGUGGCGAAGGCGACUUUCUGGUCUGUAACUGACGCUGAUGUGCGAAAGCGUGGGGAUCAAACAGGAUUAGAUACCCUGGUAGUCCACGCCGUAAACGAUGAGUGCUAAGUGUUAGGGGGUUUCCGCCCCUUAGUGCUGCAGCUAACGCAUUAAGCACUCCGCCUGGGGAGUACGACCGCAAGGUG